GGCGAGCGUAGCUCAGUUGGUUAGAGCGCUGGUCUGUGGAACCAGAAGUCGUGGGUUCAAAUCCCAUCGUUCGCCU
RNAcentral lists this transfer RNA (76 nucleotides) under bacterium ADurb.Bin363. Its description in RNAcentral is "tRNA-His". It matches the Rfam family "tRNA". From Rfam's summary of the family: Transfer RNA (tRNA) molecules are approximately 80 nucleotides in length. The record is from RNAcentral.